This 1031-nucleotide small RNA is filed under the name Pongo abelii (Sumatran orangutan). Its description in RNAcentral is "retained intron". The record is from RNAcentral. Lineage: Eukaryota; Metazoa; Chordata; Mammalia; Primates; Hominidae.
CCAGUACACUCCAACAUCCCCAUGAUGGAUCAGAAGGCCAUAUUCCAGCAGCCUCCAGUUGGGGUGCGCAAGAUUGUCUUGGCCACCAACAUUGCUGAGACUUCCAUCACAAUCAAUGACAUCGUGCAUGUGGUGGACAGUGGGCUGCACAAGGAAGAACGCUAUGACCUGAAGACCAAGGUGGCACCUACCUCCUGGGCCCGGCCAACCACUGGGGGAGGGACUCCGUUUCAAGGUGGUCCCCAGCCCAGAUCUACCUUAGACCUGCUUUGUGUGUCUUCAGAAGGCCACGCUUGUGGGGUCUCAGUGUUCCUGACGUGGGGGGCUGGUGAGGGUUCCUCAGGGAGUGGGGAAGCACUGAGGAAGUGGCAUCUGUGUGCUGCUUACCUGCCCCCUCCUCCAGGUGUCCUGCCUGGAGACAGUGUGGGUGUCAAGAGCCAAUGUGAUCCAGCGCCGGGGCCGGGCAGGCCGCUGCCAGUCCGGCUUUGCCUACCACUUGUUCCCUCGAAGCCGGCUGGAGAAAAUGGUCCCUUUCCAAGUACCAGAGAUCCUGCGCACACCUCUCGAGAAUCUGGUGCUGCAAGCAAAAAUCCACAUGCCUGAGAAGACGGCGGUGGAGUUCCUGUCCAAGGCUGUGGACAGUCCAAACAUCAAGGCAGUGGACGAGGCUGUGAUCUUGCUCCAGGAGAUCGGUAUGUGGGGGCUGGGCUGGGCUGGGGAGUGGCUCUCGAGGGUGGUACUGACAGCUGAGCCGUUGCAGGGGUGCUGGACCAGCGGGAGUACCUGACCACCCUGGGGCAGCGCCUGGCUCACAUCUCCACCGACCCCCGGCUGGCCAAGGCCAUUGUGUUGGCUGCCAUCUUCCGUUGCCUGCACCCACUAUUGGUGGUCGUUUCCUGCCUCACCCGGGACCCCUUCAGCAGCAGCCUACAGAACCGGGCAGAGGUGGACAAGGUGAAAGCACUGUUGAGCCAUGACAGCGGCAGUGACCACCUAGCCUUUGUGCGGGCUGUCGCCGGCUGGGAGGAGGU